This 229-nucleotide ribosomal RNA is filed under the name uncultured bacterium. RNAcentral's name for it is "partial 16S ribosomal RNA". It matches the Rfam family "Bacterial small subunit ribosomal RNA", at positions 568 to 796 of the family's 1533-position model. The record is from RNAcentral.
UGCGUAGGCGGAUUGUUAAGUCAGUGGUGAAAGUCUACGGCUCAACCGUAGAAGUGCCAUUGAUACUGGCAGUCUUGAGUACAGUAGAGGUAGGCGGAAUUUAUGGUGUAGCGGUGAAAUGCAUAGAUACCAUAAAGAACACCUAUAGCGAAGGCAGCUUACUAUGCUGUAACGGACGCUGAGGCACGAAAGCGUGGGGAGCGAACAGGAUUAGAUACCCUGGUAGUCC